UAGUCACCCACUCCUCUCCUCUCGAGCCUCAGCCUCCACUCUCACCAGUUCUCACUCCUCUCAGCCUAUGUUCUGCUUGCCCAAAUCAUUCACUCUCCCUUAUCCAACCCUAGCUACUCUUUUCGACCCACUGCCGCCUCUCCGUCGAGCCACUGCCGCGUCCGUCCGUCGAGCUCGGCCACCGUUCGUCCGUGUAGCCACUGCACCCAAGUCUCCAACUCCCCUGCUCUCUUCUUCCGCGAGCUCGCCCCAUCCCUUACUCUUUGCAUCUUCUUGCCAUCAGCUUUAUCUUCUUGCCGUCGUGUGGUCGGUGUCGUCCAUCAAUGAAGGGUCUGUCGGCGUCGCCUUCGAAGGACAAACUCUAGCGAUGGCUCAAGGCAGGAGAAAUAUGGAAUGACUAACAAACCCCAAGGAGAGCCUAAGGAUGCGCAACGAUCGAACAAAGGUGAAAGAGGUGUCUUCCGAAGUAUCAAAGUAUAUCCACUGGAACCAAAUGACAAGAGACUUAAUUAUGAACCACCUACAGAUUUACUUAGCAAGCUGUCCCUGGUUUCUGAAGUGAAAAAACCUGCAAAACUGCCAUCUAAGGUGCAGCCAAUUUCCUAGGUUCAGCUAUCUCAGCACUCAUAUAACAACUUAAGAUUCUUUUGAGUGGGUAAAGGCAUGGUGAUUCCUAUUG
Arachis duranensis is the source of this 679-nucleotide long non-coding RNA. RefSeq lists it as uncharacterized. The record is from RefSeq and is a predicted model, not a curated record. The transcript is spliced from 5 exons. NCBI's taxonomy places the organism in Eukaryota, Viridiplantae, Streptophyta, Magnoliopsida, Fabales, Fabaceae.